RNAcentral lists this ribosomal RNA (91 nucleotides) under Klebsiella pneumoniae. The record is from RNAcentral. Lineage: Bacteria; Pseudomonadati; Pseudomonadota; Gammaproteobacteria; Enterobacterales; Enterobacteriaceae.
CCUGGCGGCACUAGCGCGGUGGUCCCACCUGACCCAUGCCGAACUCAGAAGUGAAACGCCGUAGCGCCGAUGGUAGUGUGGGGUCUCCCCA